RNAcentral lists this ribosomal RNA (301 nucleotides) under uncultured bacterium. RNAcentral describes it as "partial 16S ribosomal RNA". It matches the Rfam family "Bacterial small subunit ribosomal RNA", at positions 509 to 807 of the family's 1533-position model. The record is from RNAcentral.
CAGCAGCCGCGGUAAUGCGUAGGUGGCAAGCGUUGUCCGGAAUUAUUGGGCGUAAAGGGCUCGCAGGCGGUUUCUUAAGUCUGAUGUGAAAGCCCCCGGCUCAACCGGGGAGGGUCAUUGGAAACUGGGAAACUUGAGUGCAGAAGAGGAGAGUGGAAUUCCACGUGUAGCGGUGAAAUGCGUAGAGAUGUGGAGGAACACCAGUGGCGAAGGCGACUCUCUGGUCUGUAACUGACGCUGAGGAGCGAAAGCGUGGGGAGCGAACAGGAUUAGAUACCCCGGUAGUCCCUGUCUCUUAUAC